CUACGGGCCGCUGCAGUGGGGAAUAUUGCACAAUGGAGGAAACUCUGAUGCAGCAACGCCGCGUGGAGGAUGACACUUUUCGGAGCGUAAACUCCUUUUAUAUAGGAAGAAGAUGACGGUACUAUAUGAAUAAGCGCCGGCUAACUCCGUGCCAGCGGCCGCGGUAAUACGGAGGGCGCAAGCGUUACUCGGAAUCACUGGGCGUAAAGAGCGUGUAGGCGGAUUAAAAAGUCAGAGGUGAAAUCCUAUAGCUUAACUAUAGAACUGCUUCUGAAACUCUUAAUCUAGAAUAUGGGAGAGGUAGAUGGAAUUUCUGGUGUAGGGGUAAAAUCCGUAGAGAUCAGAAGGAAUACCGAUUGCGAAGGCGAUCUACUAGAACAUUAUUGACGCUGAGACGCGAAAGCGUGGGGAGCAAACAGGAUUAGAUACCCUCGUAGUC
This 439-nucleotide ribosomal RNA is filed under the name uncultured bacterium. Its description in RNAcentral is "partial 16S ribosomal RNA". It matches the Rfam family "Bacterial small subunit ribosomal RNA", at positions 339 to 795 of the family's 1533-position model. The record is from RNAcentral.